CAGGCAUUCCCACCCUGAGAGGAAAUGGUAAGGUGGAACUGCCCAGGAUCCAUAGCUGGCCUUGUGUUCCUCAGCUAAAGAAGCUGAUACUGGGACCAGUGUGGAGAACUACCAGAAAAAUGCUUGCUGCCAAGUCUGGAGACCUGGGCUUGACCUCUGGACCCCACAAGGCGGAAGGAGAGAACUGAUUUACAGAGUUAUCCUGUGACUUCCAGAAGAAUGCUGUGCUAGAUCCUGUGUGCACACAUAACAAACACGUUAAUGUCAAAGAGAGAAAUCUAUUAAAAAGACAGUACUUUAAAAUGAAAAGUAACAGUAGCAAUAAUAAUGGCCAUUAUAGGGGCUGGAGAGAUGGCUCAGUGGUUAAGAGGCAUUGGCUGCCCUCUCAGAGGAUCCAGGUUCGAUUCCAAGCACCCACAUAGUGGUUCAGAACCAUCUGUAACUCCAGGUGCAGGUCUUAUGGUUUCUACAGAGACUGUACAUACUUGGCGCACCAAUAUAUGCAGGCAAGACACCUGUAACACAUAAAAUAAAUAAUAAAAAUAAAAUUAAAGUAGCCAACACAUUCUGGAAACUUACCCUAAAUGCGUUAUGUACAAGCUUAUAAUCUUAAUACUCUCAAGCCUGUUAGCUCAGGUGCCAUAAUUAAUCCACUGCUUUGAUGCUAAAGCAGAGGCAUGAGGAGGCAAAGAGAAUGUCUUAGGUGGCAGUGGCAGGUGACAGAUGAGGUGGUAGCCUGUCCAAGGAUUAAAAGCAUUGGUUUUUUUAUCUCAGA
This is a long non-coding RNA of Mastomys coucha (southern multimammate mouse), 775 nucleotides long. RefSeq lists it as uncharacterized. The record is from RefSeq and is a predicted model, not a curated record. The transcript has 2 exons. Lineage: Eukaryota; Metazoa; Chordata; Mammalia; Rodentia; Muridae.